RNAcentral lists this ribosomal RNA (253 nucleotides) under uncultured bacterium. RNAcentral's name for it is "partial 16S ribosomal RNA". It matches the Rfam family "Bacterial small subunit ribosomal RNA", at positions 524 to 776 of the family's 1533-position model. The record is from RNAcentral.
UACGUAGGGUGCGAGCGUUAAUCGGAAUUACUGGGCGUAAAGUGUGCGCAGGCGGCCGAGCAAGUCGAGUGUGAAAGCCCCGAGCUUAACUUGGGAACUGCGCUCGAAACUACUUGGCUAGAGUGUGGCAGAGGGAGGUGGAAUUCCACGUGUAGCGGUGAAAUGCGUAGAGAUCAGGAGGAACACCGGUGGCGAAGGCGGCACUCUGGGUCGGCCCUGACGCUGAGGCGCGAAAGCGUGGGGAGCGAACGGG